RNAcentral lists this ribosomal RNA (821 nucleotides) under Mandarina sp. A AD-2005. RNAcentral's name for it is "partial 16S ribosomal RNA". The record is from RNAcentral. Lineage: Eukaryota; Metazoa; Mollusca; Gastropoda; Stylommatophora; Camaenidae.
AGCUUUUGAGUUAAAUAUAUUAUAAUAUUAGUUAUUUAUUUAAAGUGUUGUAAAACUUUAUUAAAAAAUAUAUUUAGGGGUGAUAGGCUAUACAAAAACUAAGAUAUCUUGAAUCUAAUUAAAAGUAUAUAGUACAUUCUACACGACUAUUAAGUGAUUAGGCUUAAUAGAAAUAUUAACUUUUUUUAGAUUAUUUUAAUUAUAAUUUAAUAACUAAAUUUUAUUUAUUAAAUAUUAUACAUUUAUUAAAAUUUAUAUGGAGUAAUUAGAUUAAUUUAAGUUUUAUAAAAAUUGUAAUAAUGUUAAUAUUAGUAUAUGAUUUAUAUUUAUUUGAUGAACUCGGCAAAAAUGUAUUUCUCAACUGUUUAUCAAAAACAUAACUAUGUGUAUAUAAUACAUAGCGGUUUCUGCUCAAUGAUUUAAUUAAAUAGCCGCAGUAUUCUGACUGUGCAAAGGUAGCAUAAUCAAUUGACUUAUAAUUGAAGUCUAGAAUGAAAGAAAAUAAUGGGAAGCCACUAUAUUUAGUAUUUAUAUAAAAAUUAUUUAUGAAGUGAAAAUACUUCUAUAGACAUAAAAGACGAGAAGACCCUAGAAAUUUUAAGUAAUUAUAUAAAAUAUAUGAGAAUUUUUUUGUUGGGGCGACAAAGUAGCAUAUAAACCUACUAAAAUUAACUUGCACUUUUUAAAUUGUAUGAUAAAAUUACUCUAGGGAUAACUAGCAUAAUAUUUUUAAAGUUUAUGACCUCGAUGUUGGAUUAGGAAAUAAUAACUUAAAAGGUUUUUUAUGUUGCUCUGUUCGAGCAUUAAACUCCUACAUGAUC